This 250-nucleotide long non-coding RNA is filed under the name Ornithorhynchus anatinus (platypus). Its description in RNAcentral is "lncRNA (ENSOANG00000040775.1)". The record is from RNAcentral. Lineage: Eukaryota; Metazoa; Chordata; Mammalia; Monotremata; Ornithorhynchidae.
AAAAAGGCGUCACUCCUAAAUACUCCGCGGGAACUGGGUGUCCUCGGGGUCGACCUGGGAAGGAACGGGACCGAGUUUCAGGCGACGACAGAGCGGGAGUCCCGCCAGAGAAGCGCGGGAGAGAUCUCUGAUGAAACUCUCGAUUGAAUCCUGCCGUGAUGGAGAUGCAGAGAAAUUUUAGGUUGACCUUCAUCUGAGUCAUUGCCGUGGAUCCUGGCGAUUGAUUCCAGCCCAGAAAACCCAACUUCGC